CUGGCGGCGUGCCUAAUACAUGCAAGUCGAACGGUCUUUCUAUGGAAGCUUGCUUCCACUGAGAAGAUAGUGGCGAACGGGUGAGUAACACGUGGGUAACCUGCCCAUAAGAGGGGGAUAACAUCCGGAAACGGGUGCUAAUACCGCAUAGUUUUCUUGAUCGCAUGAUCGGGAAAGGAAAGACGGCCUUUGUGCUGUCGCUUAUGGAUGGACCCGCGGCGUAUUAGUUAGUUGGUGAGGUAACGGCUCACCAAGACGAUGAUACGUAGCCGACCUGAGAGGGUGAUCGGCCACAUUGGGACUGAGACACGGCCCAAACUCCUACGGGAGGCAGCAGUAGGGAAUCUUCCGCAAUGGACGAAAGUCUGACGGAGCAACGCCGCGUGAGUGAAGAAAAGGGUUUUCGGAUCGUAAAACUCUGUUGUCAGAGAAGAACAAGUUGGAGAGUAACUGCUCCAGCCUUGACGGUAUCUGACCAGAAAGCCACGGCUAACUACGUGCCAGCCGCUGC
RNAcentral lists this ribosomal RNA (511 nucleotides) under uncultured bacterium. RNAcentral describes it as "bacterial SSU rRNA". It matches the Rfam family "Bacterial small subunit ribosomal RNA", at positions 36 to 518 of the family's 1533-position model. The record is from RNAcentral.